GAUGAACGCUAGCGGCAGGCUUAAUACAUGCAAGUCGAGGGGCAGCACGGUUAGCAAUAACUGGUGGCGACCGGCGCACGGGUGCGUAACACGUAUACAAUCUACCUUAAACAGGGGAUAGCCUUUCGAAAGAGAGAUUAAUACCCCGUAAUAAAUUGAACGGCAUCGUUUGAUUUUGAAAGCUCCGGCGGUUUGAGAUGAGUAUGCGUCUGAUUAGCUAGUUGGUGAGGUAACGGCUCACCAAGGCGACGAUCAGUAGGGGAUCUGAGAGGACUAACCCCCACACUGGUACUGAGACACGGACCAGACUCCUACGGGAGGCAGCAGUAGGGAAUAUUGGGCAAUGGACGCAAGUCUGACCCAGCCAUGCCGCGUGCAGGAAGACGGCCCUCUGGGUUGUAAACUGCUUUUAUCAGGGAAGAAACCCUUCUACGUGUAGAAGGCUGACGGUACCUGAGGAAUAAGGAUCGGCUAACUCCGUGCCAGCAGCCGCGGUAAU
This 499-nucleotide ribosomal RNA is filed under the name uncultured bacterium. RNAcentral's name for it is "bacterial SSU rRNA". It matches the Rfam family "Bacterial small subunit ribosomal RNA", at positions 28 to 524 of the family's 1533-position model. The record is from RNAcentral.